Molecule: ribosomal RNA, 497 nt
Filed under: uncultured bacterium
Lineage: Bacteria
Description: partial 16S ribosomal RNA
Rfam family: Bacterial small subunit ribosomal RNA
Source: RNAcentral
GAUGAACGCUGGCGGCGUGCCUAAUACAUGCAAGUCGAGCGAACAGAUAAGGAGCUUGCUCCUUUGACGUUAGCGGCGGACGGGUGAGUAACACGUGGGUAACCUACCUAUAAGACUGGGAUAACUUCGGGAAACCGGGGCUAAUACCGGAUAAUAUUUCGAACCGCAUGGUUCGAUAGUGAAAGAUGGUUUUGCUAUCACUUAUAGAUGGACCCGCGCCGUAUUAGCUAGUUGGUAAGGUAACGGCUUACCAAGGCGACGAUACGUAGCCGACCUGAGAGGGUGAUCGGCCACACUGGAACUGAGACACGGUCCAGACUCCUACAGGAGGCAGCAGUAGGGAAUCUUCCGCAAUGGGCGAAAGCCUGACGGAGCAACGCCGCGUGAGUGAUGAAGGUCUUCGGAUCGUAAAACUCUGUUAUUAGGGAAGAACAUACGUGUAAGUAACUGUGCACGUCUUGACGGUACCUAAUCAGAAAGCCACGGCUAACUACGUG